Long non-coding RNA from Pocillopora verrucosa, 726 nucleotides. RefSeq lists it as uncharacterized. NCBI's taxonomy places the organism in Eukaryota, Metazoa, Cnidaria, Anthozoa, Scleractinia, Pocilloporidae. The record is from RefSeq and is a predicted model, not a curated record.
AUCAAGCCAACAGCAUGGAUGAACACAUUCAGUAUCUCGAGACACUUUGUUGUCUUUGUGGCACAAAUCUGCCACGGACCUGGGUCAGUGCUACAAACAAAGAAUCUUUUAAAUCGGAGCUCUGGAUGAAAUUUCGAAUCAAUGUCGAUCUUGACAUCAGAGAGAUUCAUUCAGCCAAGGCGAAUGCACACUAAAAAAUAAUUUCAGGAAACCACGGAUCUAACACAUAAAUGUGAUUAUCCAGCGAGUAAGUUCUCCUUCGGGCAAACAUAAAACAAAGAGGUAUUCGUUCACUGAGCUCUCACAUCUUUAGGUAUCGUAUCCGGGAAAUGUGCGAUAAGAGCGGCAUGAAGAUGAAAAUAAAGAAAUCACAUUGGUGGAAAGCCUUGCCGAAGUGUCUCUAUUACAGCAUUCCGGAAACAAAGGUAUCAUAAUUUCAAGAUCAAAGCUCCACGUGGAACACCGCUUGUUAUUCAAAGUGAAGACGACGACACGUAUGACUCGCAUGCACUGGCUUGUCUUCUUCCACGAGAAAUGGAACGCAUUCCAGAGGCUCUACGAGAAGUCAAGAUUUUCAGCAAAUCGCAGAGAAAGACAUACACUUUAGGAGAUGUCAAAGGGCAGCAGAUCGGCACGGUUCAGCACUUUCUAAACAUACAGCUGCAUGCUUUGCUUCGAUGUGGCAAAAUAACCAGGAAUUGAAGGGGAAAUCAACGGAGAACGGAC